This 77-nucleotide transfer RNA is filed under the name Alteromonadaceae bacterium Bs31. Its description in RNAcentral is "tRNA_Arg_TCT". It matches the Rfam family "tRNA". Rfam says of the family: Transfer RNA (tRNA) molecules are approximately 80 nucleotides in length. Their secondary structure includes four short double-helical elements and three loops (D, anti-codon, and T loops). Further hydrogen bonds mediate the characteristic L-shaped molecular structure. tRNAs have two regions of fundamental functional importance: the anti-codon, which is responsible for specific mRNA codon recognition, and the 3' end, to which the tRNAs corresponding amino acid is attached (by aminoacyl-tRNA synthetases). tRNAs cope with the degeneracy of the genetic code in two manners: having more than one tRNA (with a specific anti-codon) for a particular amino acid; and 'wobble' base-pairing, i.e. permitting non-standard base-pairing at the 3rd anti-codon position. The record is from RNAcentral. Lineage: Bacteria; Pseudomonadati; Pseudomonadota; Gammaproteobacteria; Alteromonadales; Alteromonadaceae.
GCGCCCGUAGCUCAGUUGGAUAGAGCAUCCGCCUUCUAAGCGGAGGGUCGCAGGUUCGAAUCCUGCCGGGCGCGCCA